Molecule: small RNA, 74 nt
Filed under: Klebsiella pneumoniae
Lineage: Bacteria; Pseudomonadati; Pseudomonadota; Gammaproteobacteria; Enterobacterales; Enterobacteriaceae
Description: isrK
Rfam family: isrK Hfq binding RNA
Source: RNAcentral
GCUGCAGCAAAAUCUGUAGCCGGGCGUGAGAACCCGAACCCCAGACGCGCACAACACGCGCCAGCGUGUUUUUU